This is a long non-coding RNA of Aquila chrysaetos chrysaetos, 4479 nucleotides long. RefSeq lists it as uncharacterized. The transcript is spliced from 3 exons. NCBI's taxonomy places the organism in Eukaryota, Metazoa, Chordata, Aves, Accipitriformes, Accipitridae. The record is from RefSeq and is a predicted model, not a curated record.
UUGAAACAACACAUCUAGAGACUCCCUAUUAGAAGUAGUCAGAUCCUGAAAUUCCAGAGCUCCAAAGGAAUCAGGAAUGAAUGCAGCAAAUUCCACUGUUAUCUACUGAGACAGAUGUUUAAAAGUGUCCAUAUAUACGAAUAUGUAUAGCAGGAUCGGAUGCUCCAGAUUACCACCUCAUCAAACCUGCCAUCCUCACAGCACCUGGAGCCACCACAUACCCUGAAAUAAAACCUGCCUUUCAUCAGGAAAUCCAGCCAGAUGGGAGGAUACUGACAGAAUCACGAGCUCCAGACAACUGUGGUUGUCACUGCCAUACAAAAGACCUUGCUCCAACGUGCUUUCUGCUGUGACUUUCCACUGAGAGCAAACCACGUAUAAGCACCACAGCUGCUGUAUCCGCGUCCAUUCGGUUUAGUGGUCUUUGUGCCAGAGCUCUUGGCGUCAUGUCAGCCCCAAGAGGAACUGGCUGUGCCUGCAAGUUUCUUUACAGAUAAAUAACCUGCUUUGCUGUUGCUGCUGUUAAUACAGAGGAAUUGGGAGUUUCAUUCUGUUCUCAAAAAAGCUGAUUUUGCAUGCAAAAGCACAAAAGCCAAGAACAGAUACGGAAAAUAACUACUGAAGAGACUUGAUCACCGUCUGUUGCAGUUUUUCUUUGUAGGUUUAGCUACUACAGCACCUACCUGCAAUGUGAACUGUUGGUGUAUACAGUUUCAGGAAUUAAAAAAAUGGACAUAUUGCAAAGUCUCAGGUUUCUAAUGAACAUUUUAAUUCCCAGAUUUUCUCUGAACUCGCAGCGUUUAGAGCAAAGCAGACUGACCACUGGUGUCAGCUUGAUGUAAGCUAAGCACAGGACUACCUACAUAGAAGGAACUGCAAACUCCACCUCAAAAUAUUUCUUUCAGAGCACUCCCUUAGCAGACUAAAACCCAUUUAAACUUAAAUACUUGGUUCUUCAGCCAGAAUAAAAAUACAGCUUUAAUGAAUAGGGCCAAAAAAGAAGUUUCUCUUGAUGUUUCUCCCAGAAAACUUUUCUGUUUUCAGCUAGCCAUAGCACUCAAGGGUAAAAAAGAAUCUGUCAGAACAGGAACACAGCAACCUUCUACCUUGUUUUUGCACGGCUUACCAGAAGGUAAGGUUGAAAUAAUUUCUGCUUGUUCUGCUUUUAUCCUUUUCGUUAUUAUAUGCUAACUGCUGCAGCACACCUUUUUAAAACACUCCUAAACAAAGCGAGAGGUUCUUUUAAGAACAGUAGAGGCCCCAGGAAUGCCACACACACAGCCCAGCAGGUCCCCUGUUGUAGCUGACCCGCAGGCUGGACUCACUGCCAGCGGCACGCUGCGCAGAGACCCGUGAACCUGUGGGAUCCGGAGACAGGCUGAGCUCCUCCGGCCCAUGCCUGAAGUUAGCACUGCUGAGAUGCUGAUAAAGAAGUAGUCAGACAUCUUCACCAGCAAAAUCCUUAAAGAUUGUUUUAAUAGUGUUCUGUGUAUUGCUAAAGGGCAAGUUCUAAGCCAAAAGUUAAGGGUUUCCUACUUGAUGCUCUUUAGACUUUGAGACAAGCAUUUCAGUAUCAGUAGCUUCUCGCAUGGAUAUACUUUUCCAUCUCUCUCUUGCAAAAUGCAACCCAAAAAGGCAAAAUCUUCAGCAGCGGCAUAUGUGCCUCAUUUUCAAUAGCUCUGUCAGCUUUGUCUCAAAGAAGCUGAAGUACAGUUUACAUGUCUCCCUCCUGAAAUCCAACAACUGAUGGAAACAAUACAGGACAAUAUGAAAGUGCCAGUGAAGCAUCUGUAACUACUUAAAAACAACAGAACAAGCAGAAAGUCAUUAGUAAGGCUUCUGAAACCCACAAAUUAAGUUAUAUAUUUCUCCGCUGAGGAAACCGGGAGAUUGAGCAUCACAAACUAUUCCAGAGGAAAAGACCAUCUGGGUAGAAUUUUGAAAAUCACAGCAAGUGCAUUAGCAUGGACUGGGUGUUUGGCCAGAGGGAGCUUACCAAAAACUGAAGGCCUCAGGGGGCUCAGCAGACAGUGACCUGGAGGCUGAGCUCAGAAAAAACCACAAACUGAAAUGAAACUCUUUGUAGCAGCCAAAAGAAGCUUGGUUUUGGUUGAAUAACACCAGCAUGUUUUUUGUGUCCUUAAUUAAAAGUAUCUCAAUGAAGCACUUAAAAAAUUAAAUAUUUUGAAACCUAAAAAAGAUAGUAACAUUUUAUGGGAUAAAAGGUUUAGAGAGAUUUCAGUUUAGUCGUUGUCUCAUUCUGAUUAUUUUAGCCUAGAAAUGAAUAAAAUACAGCUAUUCAUACCAUGCAGCACAGGAAACUGGUUUUCAUACCUUUCCUACAUACACAGUCAGUGGACAGAAGGUAAAUCAAGGCACCUAAAUCAGGCCUGGGAGAAAAACACUCCCUUUCCUUGGAGUUGCAUGCCUAAGGUUGGGCUCUCUAAAUAUUCUUCUAGAUGUCCGCCAUCAGAAACUUGCAAGGAAUGAAAGCUCUGCUUUCUGAUCUGCUUUAGUCACCGCAGGGCUUAAAUUUUGGGAUUAGCAGACUUCUCAGAAUAGGCAGGCAGGGAUCCAGUCAAGCUGUAGAUAAUCAGAAACUGCACCUUAGAUUUCAGCUACAAAAAGCCUCCCAGUAGCACAGGACUCUCACUAGACUUAAGACAAGUUACUACCCCAUUCUCAGAGCAGUGCAAGUGCACACCUGCCACCAGAGAGUGAAGGACAAGGCCACCAUUCCAACAUUGCAGACAAGCUUUUUAUUAUGAAAACAUCUGCACAAAUCUGUUAGCCCCUGCACAUUUGUCAUCAUUCCUUAGCGGGUAAUCAAGAUCAAGCCUUUCAUUUUCAGCUCACAGUCCAAUUAACAACAGAGAGAUAUAUAAAAUAAAAGCCUAUUUUAAGAGCUGAUUUUUAAAGAUGGAUAUUUAUCAUUUUGUUCGCACAGUAAAUGGUUUGGUUAGGUUUAAUUCAUGUUUAUUAAAGUCCAUAAAAGUUGCUGUAUGAGAGACAAAUGCAAUUACCUUUACUAUGGGAAUAAAUGUAUAACGAAAUCCUAGCUUUCCCUCUUUAAAAUAACACACUUCACAAUAAGUACAGAUUUUGGCAAAGCAAUGUUCCCCUGCCACGCAGCACAUGUUUAAUGAAGCUACUCCUCAGCUGUUUGUUGCUGAACUGAGCACUCCCGGUCCAUUAAAGUGGAAGCCUCCACCGAAGGAAAACACUUCACAGUUUCAAUCUAAAAGUAUGUCAGCUUAUCGAAACGACAAUCAUUCUGUCUUUUCACAAAGCAAUUAGAGCAGAAAGCAAUCACAGAAAGGAAUUAAGAGGGAUUUCUGGUCAGAUCUCCCAUCAGGAUCACUCAGACCAGAUGGAUUCAUACAACCUCAGAUCUCUCCCUUUGCCUUGUCACAUCCUGGCCUGCAACUGCUUUGGCACGGGCAUCCUGAAAGAAUGCCAAUGGUACUUGCAUGCACUGUAAUUAAUAAGCAAGGUUUUAAUUUACCUAUUAAAAAUUACAUUCUAGGAAGCUAAUGAAAAGCCAUCUUAUUAACAAAACAAAGUAUUUUCUCUGGCCUCGAUAAAUGACCCCAAUAUUACACAGUCCACCCAAACUCAGAAGGGAAGAUUUUUUUGGUUUCAGAAAAAAAAAUCAAGACUUUUUGCAUGGAAAACCAUGUCACUGGAACAGUAUGCGCUGCAAAAUGGAGCUUUAAUAGCCAAUAAAGAUAGAAAGAGGUAGUGCUUGCUACCUCAUCGCUAGCAGGUUUUCAAAUUAUGGAAUUCAUCCGUCACACUCCACUUAGCAUAUCUGUAUCACUUCACCAAGUAAUGCCACCAUCAGAUAGUUAUUUUAAUAGUGAACAGGUAAAUGAAUAGUGUAAAGGGUAAUAGAAUGGAGGAAAAAGAGACAAGACCAUUAAGUCAAGUCCUUUUUUUUGCUUUUUCUCUGACACUGAAGAGUGAAGAUUCCUCUUUAACUCGCUUUAAACUGGGAGGAAUGUAAAAAAAAAAAAAAAAAAAAAGCAGAUGUAUUUAACCAGGCAAUUUACUUAAUACAAGAGAAAUCUUCAAGCUUAUUUCAGGAGCAGAUCUCUAGAGAUGCUUGCAUUUCUCAAGGGUAAAUAGACACAAAGAACUUUACUGCAUGCAUGGAUAAAUUAUUUACACAAAGCAAACUGGUCCAAACUUAAGAGUGACUUGAGACUUGUCCCUAAAAAUUUAAAGCCUCCAUCUUUACAGUCUUUGUUCUCCACAGCAGCUGGUAAGCUGUGGUCCUCGGUCAAGCAGUCCUCAAGGUCCAGGCUGCAAAGCGUGCAGCUCUCUUGAGCAGGCUGGCUGUGCCCACGCUGCCUCCUGAGUGGGCUGUACGGAGCAGUGAGAGAUACACCGCAGUCCUUCGAGCCUCCACAGCAGAGGCAGUGGUUGAACAUGCAAACUGCCAAGAGCCUCAGGCAAUUCUCCAAAUGUGCAUCCACG